CCUACGGGGAGCUGCAGUGGGGAAUAUUGGACAAUGGGCGAAAGCCUGAUCCAGCCAUGCCGCGUGUGUGAAGAAGGCCUUCGGGUUGUAAAGCACUUUCAGUGGGGAAGAAAGCCUUGGGGCUAAUACCCUCGAGGAAGGACAUCACCCACAGAAGAAGCACCGGCUAACUCCGUGCCAGCAGCCGCGGUAAUACGGAGGGUGCGAGCGUUAAUCGGAAUUACUGGGCGUAAAGCGCGCGUAGGCGGUCUGAUAAGCCGGUUGUGAAAGCCCCGGGCUCAACCUGGGAACGGCAUCCGGAACUGUCAGGCUAGAGUGCAGGAGAGGAAGGUAGAACUCCCGGUGUAGCGGUGAAAUGCGUAGAGAUCGGGAGGAAUACCAGUGGCGAAGGCGGCCUUCUGGACUGACACUGACGCUGAGGUGCGAAAGCGUGGGUAGCAAACAGGAUUAGAUACCCGUGUAGUC
This 465-nucleotide ribosomal RNA is filed under the name Vreelandella stevensii. Its description in RNAcentral is "partial 16S ribosomal RNA". It matches the Rfam family "Bacterial small subunit ribosomal RNA", at positions 338 to 795 of the family's 1533-position model. The record is from RNAcentral. Lineage: Bacteria; Pseudomonadati; Pseudomonadota; Gammaproteobacteria; Oceanospirillales; Halomonadaceae.